RNAcentral lists this microRNA precursor (99 nucleotides) under Marmota monax (woodchuck). The record is from RNAcentral. Lineage: Eukaryota; Metazoa; Chordata; Mammalia; Rodentia; Sciuridae.
AGGAGGAGGAAAAGAAGAAGAAGAAGAAGAAGAAGAAGAAGAAGAAGAAGAAGAAGAACUUCUUCUUCUUCUUCUUCUUCUUCUUCUUCUUCUUCUUUU